Molecule: ribosomal RNA, 1280 nt
Filed under: uncultured bacterium
Lineage: Bacteria
Description: bacterial SSU rRNA
Rfam family: Bacterial small subunit ribosomal RNA
Source: RNAcentral
AAAUGCUACCGAUUAUGGAUGGACCCGCGUCUGAUUAGCUAGUUGGUGAGGUAAUGGCUCACCAAGGCGACGAUCAGUAGCCGGCCUGAGAGGGUGAACGGCCACACUGGAACUGAGACACGGUCCAGACUCCUACGGGAGGCAGCAGUGGGGAAUAUUGCACAAUGGAGGAAACUCUGAUGCAGCGACGCCGCGUGAGUGAAGAAGGUCUUCGGAUCGUAAAACUCUGUCCUUGGUGAAGAAAAAAAUGACGGUAGCCAAGGAGGAAGCCCCGGCUAACUACGUGCCAGCAGCCGCGGUAAUACGUAGGGGGCGAGCGUUGUCCGGAAUUACUGGGCGUAAAGGGCGUGUAGGCGGGAAUGCAAGUCAGAUGUGAAAUGCCGAGGCUUAACCUCGGAGCUGCAUUUGAAACUGUAUGACUUGAGUGCAGGAGAGGUAAGUGGAAUUCCUAGUGUAGCGGUGAAAUGCGUAGAUAUUAGGAGGAACACCAGUGGCGAAGGCGACUUACUGGACUGUAACUGACGCUGAGGCGCGAAAGCGUGGGGAGCAAACAGGAUUAGAUACCCUGGUAGUCCACGCCGUAAACGAUGGAUACUAGGUGUGGGAGGUAUCGACCCCUUCCGUGCCGGAGUUAACACAAUAAGUAUCCCGCCUGGGGAGUACGGCCGCAAGGUUGAAACUCAAAGGAAUUGACGGGGGCCCGCACAAGCAGCGGAGCAUGUGGUUUAAUUCGAAGCAACGCGAAGAACCUUACCAGGUCUUGACAUCUCUCUGAUAAGAGAUUAGGGGGUGCCUGCUUGCAGGAGCCCAGACACAGGUGGUGCAUGGUUGUCGUCAGCUCGUGUCGUGAGAUGUUGGGUUAAGUCCCGCAACGAGCGCAACCCUUAUUGCUAGUUGCCAUCAUUAAGUUGGGCACUCUAGUGAGACUGCCGGAGACAAUUCGGAGGAAGGUGGGGAUGACGUCAAAUCAUCAUGCCCCUUAUGUUCUGGGCUACACACGUGCUACAAUGGGUGUAACAACGGGAAGCAAGCUGGCAACAGCAAGCCAAUCCCUGAAAAGCACCCUCAGUUCGGAUUGUAGGCUGAAACCCGCCUACAUGAAGUUGGAGUUGCUAGUAAUCGCGGAUCAGCAUGCCGUGGUGAAUGCGUUCCCGGGUCUUGUACACACCGCCCGUCACACCAUGGAAGUUGGGGGGACCCGAAGCCAGUGAUCCAACCGUAAGGAGGAAGCUGUCGAAGGUAAAACCAAUGACUGGGGUGAAGUCGUAACAAGGUAACCA